AUACGUAGGUGACAAGCGUUAUCCGGAUUUACUGGGCGUAAAGGGCGUGUAGGCGGUCUUGCAAGUCAGAAGUGAAAUUCCUGAGCUCAACUCGGGCGCUGCUUCUGAAACUGCAGGACUUGAGUGCUGGAGGGGAUAGCGGAAUUCCUAGUGGAGCGGUAAAAUGCGCAGAUAUUAGGAAGAACACCGGUGGCGAAGGCGGGUAUCUGGACAGUAACUGACGCUGGGGCGCGAAAGCGUGGGGAGAAAACAGGAUUAGAUACCCGGGUGGUCCACGCCGUAAACGAUGAAUACUAGGUGUAGGGGGUAUCGACUCCCUCUGUGCCGCAGUUAACACAAUAAGUAAUCCGCCUGGGGAGUACGGCCGCAAGGUUGAAACUCAAAGGAAUUGACGGGG
RNAcentral lists this ribosomal RNA (397 nucleotides) under uncultured bacterium. RNAcentral's name for it is "partial 16S ribosomal RNA". It matches the Rfam family "Bacterial small subunit ribosomal RNA", at positions 523 to 918 of the family's 1533-position model. The record is from RNAcentral.